This 372-nucleotide ribosomal RNA is filed under the name uncultured bacterium. Its description in RNAcentral is "bacterial SSU rRNA". It matches the Rfam family "Bacterial small subunit ribosomal RNA", at positions 28 to 402 of the family's 1533-position model. The record is from RNAcentral.
GACGAACGCUGGCGGCGUGCUUAACACAUGCAAGUCGAACGGAAAGGCCCUUUCGGGGGUACUCGAGUGGCGAACGGGUGAGUAACACGUGGGUGAUCUGCCCUGCACUUCGGGAUAAGCUUGGGAAACUGGGUCUAAUACCGGAUAGGACUACGGACUGCAUGGUCUGUGGUGGAAAGCUUUUGCGGUGUGGGAUGGGCCCGCGGCCUAUCAGCUUGUUGGUGGGGUGAUGGCCUACCAAGGCGACGACGGGUAGCCGGCCUGAGAGGGUGUCCGGCCACACUGGGACUGAGAUACGGCCCAGACUCCUACGGGAGGCAGCAGUGGGGAAUAUUGCACAAUGGGCGCAAGCCUGAUGCAGCGACGCCGCGU